This 21-nucleotide non-coding RNA is filed under the name Caenorhabditis elegans. Lineage: Eukaryota; Metazoa; Nematoda; Chromadorea; Rhabditida; Rhabditidae. The record is from RNAcentral.
UGGUCUGUGUGUGUGUGUUUG